ACACACAGGUGCUGCAUGGCUGUCGUCAGCUCGUGUCGUGAGAUGUUGGGUUAAGUCCCGCAACGAGCGCAACCCUCGCCUUUAGUUACCAUCAUUUAGUUGGGUACUCUAAAGGAACCGCCGGUGAUAAGCCGGAGGAAGGUGGGGAUGACGUCAAGUCCUCAUGGCCCUUACGCGCUGGGCUACACACGUGCUACAAUGGCAACUACAGUGGGCAGCAAUCCCGCGAGGGUGAGCUAAUCUCCAAAAGUUGUCUCAGUUCGGAUUGUACUCUGCAACUCGAGUGCAUGAAGGCGGAAUCGCUAGUAAUCGCGGAUCAGCAUGCCGCGGUGAAUACGUUCCCAGGCCUUGUACACACCGCCCGUCACACCAUGGGAGUUGGAUUCACCCGAAGGCGUUGCGCUAACUCGCAAGAGAG
RNAcentral lists this ribosomal RNA (418 nucleotides) under maize root bacterium ZmrIs3W. RNAcentral describes it as "bacterial SSU rRNA". It matches the Rfam family "Bacterial small subunit ribosomal RNA", at positions 1030 to 1448 of the family's 1533-position model. The record is from RNAcentral.